GGGAGGUGGAGGGAGGAGGUAGGGAAACAGCUGUGGAAAGUGAUGUCAUUUGACAAGGCUGGGAAGGAGCAGCUUGGUGAGAGAACUGGCCUCUCACCCCGGUGCAGAGCUCUCCCAUGCGCUCGCCUGCAUGAAAAGCCGGGAGGAGUGAUCGUGCUGUUGCUCAGGGGCGGGCUUCAGCUCCGAGUGGGAAGCGACUUGCCUGGUUCCCACAGAGAAGAGGACCUGGUCAUGUGCCUUGAAGUGUGGCCAGAGGGAUCGCAGGAGAAAGCAGAGGAUUGUACCAACACACUCUCCUGUCAACUUGCAGAGGGGUUCCCUUUUUCCAGCUGCUUAUCAGACUUGCAAGAUUUUGCCCAUCUGAUCAGCGUGAGAACAAGUCUCCGCUGUUGCCAUGUGUUUCCCUGAUCACCAGCGACGGCCUCUCCAGUUUGUACCCCUUUAGCAGCUGGACCUGGGUGAAGGCCAGUGUGGGCAGAACUGGCUUCACAAAACCCUAGCUAACCCUGUGGAGGCGAGGCGGCCUGGCAUCUGGUUUAGGAAUGCGGGAACAUUCAGCAACUAUGUCCGGUUCUCGGUCUCUGGUGCCUCAGCUGAAGCUGAGAUGGAGAAAGUUCCAUUUUAAUAUCCUGUUACACAUUUUCCUAGAGCAUUACUUAUUUUGUCAUUUUAAAAUUUAUUGGCAUCGCAUUGGUCAUAGUAUUCUCUUAAGAGUUUAAAAAUCUCUACCGUAUCUAUAGUAAUAUCCACUUUUUCAUUCUAAAUAUAUGUGCCUUCUCAAUUUCUUUUUUGAUUGAUCUUGCCAGAGCUUUAUUUGUUUUUAGAGAACACUAAAAGUUCUCUCUAUUGUUUCUUUGCAUUCUAUUUAAUUAAUUUAUGCCCCUUUCUUCUGUUUUUACUCUUUAAUUGAGAAAUAAAUCAUACAUACAAAAGAGCACAUAUAAAGUAUGUUUAUGCUUCAGGAAUAAUAAUAAAAUGAACAAU
Molecule: long non-coding RNA, 984 nt
Filed under: Equus caballus (horse)
Lineage: Eukaryota; Metazoa; Chordata; Mammalia; Perissodactyla; Equidae
Description: lncRNA (ENSECAG00000039246.2)
Source: RNAcentral